GGCGAGGUGGUGAAAUUGGUAGACACGCUACUUUGAGGUGGUAGUGGGCGAAAGCCUGUGAGAGUUCGAAUCUCUUCUUCGUCAC
Molecule: transfer RNA, 85 nt
Filed under: Emticicia sediminis
Lineage: Bacteria; Pseudomonadati; Bacteroidota; Cytophagia; Cytophagales; Leadbetterellaceae
Also listed under: 1 other name
Description: tRNA-Leu
Rfam family: tRNA
About the family: Transfer RNA (tRNA) molecules are approximately 80 nucleotides in length. Their secondary structure includes four short double-helical elements and three loops (D, anti-codon, and T loops).
Source: RNAcentral